This is a non-coding RNA of Rhizoctonia solani, 88 nucleotides long. The record is from the annotation of a RefSeq genome assembly. NCBI's taxonomy places the organism in Eukaryota, Fungi, Basidiomycota, Agaricomycetes, Cantharellales, Ceratobasidiaceae.
GGUUGUAUAGUCUAGUGGUUAUGAUAUCUGCUUUACAAAAAGUGUAUAAUUUCGCAGAGGGUCCCAAGUUCGAACCUUGGUGCAGCCA